RNAcentral lists this ribosomal RNA (311 nucleotides) under uncultured bacterium. RNAcentral's name for it is "bacterial SSU rRNA". It matches the Rfam family "Bacterial small subunit ribosomal RNA", at positions 32 to 332 of the family's 1533-position model. The record is from RNAcentral.
GACGAAACGCUGGCGGCGUGCCUAACACAUGCAAGUCGAACGGGGUUGAGUGCUUCGGUAUUCAACUUAGUGGCGAACGGGUGAGUAACGCGUGAAGAACCUGCCUUUCAGUGGGGGACGAACAGUUGGAAACGACUGCUAAUACCGCAUGACACUUUUUGGGGGUCGAUCCCCGACGAAGUCAAAGCUUUAUGUGCUGAAAGAUGGCUUCGCGUCUGAUUAGCUAGAUGGCGGGGUAACGGCCCACCAUGGCGACGAUCAGUAGCCGGUCUGAGAGGAUGAACGGCCACAUUGGGACUGAGAUACGGCCC